Molecule: small RNA, 542 nt
Filed under: Pongo abelii (Sumatran orangutan)
Lineage: Eukaryota; Metazoa; Chordata; Mammalia; Primates; Hominidae
Description: processed transcript
Source: RNAcentral
AGAAAAUGACAUUUGUAAUAGGAAUUUUAAGAUUUUAUUACUUCUUCUUUCAUCUCCUCAAAGGAAUGAAGAAAUGGUGGUGGGCAGAUCUUCCUUUCCCAUGCAGUAUUUUCCAAUUAAUAAUACUUCUUUACCUCAAGAAUAUUUUCUCUUUCAGAAGAUGCAGUGGCAUGUGUAUAAUCCAGUGCUGCAGCUUCCUUACUAUGAAAUGACAGCUCCACUUCCUAAUAGUGCAUCUGUGUCUUCCUCACUGAAUCAUGUUCCAGAUCUUGAGGCUGGACCCAGCUCAUAUAAAUGGACUCACCAACAACCAAGUGACUCUGACCUUUAUCAGAUGAAUAAACGAAAGAGACAAAAGCAAACAAGUGAUAGUGAUAGUAGCACAGACAACAACAGAGGCAACGAAUGUAGCCAAAAGUUCCGAAAGUCUAAGAAGAAGAAAAGAUACUAGUAUUACCUACAAAUGAAACUUACCUACACUGAUCUUAGUUCUCUUAUGAAAAAAAUAAGAUGUUAUUCCAUCAAAUAACCAAUGUCAUGGC